Molecule: ribosomal RNA, 1009 nt
Filed under: Paraburkholderia sediminicola
Lineage: Bacteria; Pseudomonadati; Pseudomonadota; Betaproteobacteria; Burkholderiales; Burkholderiaceae
Description: bacterial SSU rRNA
Rfam family: Bacterial small subunit ribosomal RNA
Source: RNAcentral
AGUCGAACGGCAGCACGGGAGCAACCCUGGUGGCGAGUGGCGAACGGGUGAGUAAUACAUCGGAACGUGUCCUGUAGUGGGGGAUAGCCCGGCGAAAGCCGGAUUAAUACCGCAUACGCUCUGCGGAGGAAAGCGGGGGAUCCUUCGGGACCUCGCGCUACAGGGGCGGCCGAUGGCAGAUUAGCUAGUUGGUGGGGUAAAGGCCUACCAAGGCGACGAUCUGUAGCUGGUCUGAGAGGACGACCAGCCACACUGGGACUGAGACACGGCCCAGACUCCUACGGGAGGCAGCAGUGGGGAAUUUUGGACAAUGGGCGCAAGCCUGAUCCAGCAAUGCCGCGUGUGUGAAGAAGGCCUUCGGGUUGUAAAGCACUUUUGUCCGGAAAGAAAACCUCCGCCCUAAUAUGGUGGGGGGAUGACGGUACCGGAAGAAUAAGCACCGGCUAACUACGUGCCAGCAGCCGCGGUAAUACGUAGGGUGCAAGCGUUAAUCGGAAUUACUGGGCGUAAAGCGUGCGCAGGCGGUCCGCUAAGACAGAUGUGAAAUCCCCGGGCUUAACCUGGGAACUGCAUUUGUGACUGGCGGGCUAGAGUAUGGCAGAGGGGGGUAGAAUUCCACGUGUAGCAGUGAAAUGCGUAGAGAUGUGGAGGAAUACCGAUGGCGAAGGCAGCCCCCUGGGCCAAUACUGACGCUCAUGCACGAAAGCGUGGGGAGCAAACAGGAUUAGAUACCCUGGUAGUCCACGCCCUAAACGAUGUCAACUAGUUGUCGGGUCUUCAUUGACUUGGUAACGUAGCUAACGCGUGAAGUUGACCGCCUGGGGAGUACGGUCGCAAGAUUAAAACUCAAAGGAAUUGACGGGGACCCGCACAAGCGGUGGAUGAUGUGGAUUAAUUCGAUGCAACGCGAAAAACCUUACCUACCCUUGACAUGUAUGGAAUCCUGCCGAGAGGUGGGAGUGCCCGAAAGGGAGCCAUAACACAGGUGCUGCAUGGCUGUCGUCAGCUC